UGGGGAAUAUUGGACAAUGGGCGCAAGCCUGAUCCAGCCAUGCCGCGUGAGUGAUGAAGGCCUUAGGGUUGUAAAGCUCUUUCAGUAGGGAAGAUAAUGACGGUACCUACAGAAGAAGCCCCGGCUAACUUCGUGCCAGCAGCCGCGGUAAUACGAAGGGGGCUAGCGUUGUUCGGAUUUACUGGGCGUAAAGCGCACGUAGGCGGAUCGUUAAGUCAGAGGUGGAAUCCCGGAGCUCAACUCCGGAACUGCCUUUGAUACUGGCGAUCUCGAGUCCGGAAGAGGUAAGUGGAACUCCUAGUGUAGAGGUGGAAUUCGUAGAUAUUAGGAAGGACACCAGUGGCGAAGGCGGCUUACUGGUCCGGAACUGACGCUGAGGUGCGAAAGCGUGGGGAGCAAACA
RNAcentral lists this ribosomal RNA (402 nucleotides) under uncultured Gammaproteobacteria bacterium. RNAcentral's name for it is "bacterial SSU rRNA". It matches the Rfam family "Bacterial small subunit ribosomal RNA", at positions 355 to 774 of the family's 1533-position model. Lineage: Bacteria; Pseudomonadati; Pseudomonadota; Gammaproteobacteria. The record is from RNAcentral.